GAUGAAGAACGUAGCGAAAUGCGAUACUUGGUGUGAAUUGCAGAAUCCCGUGAACCAUCGAGUCUUUGAACGCAAGUUGCGCCCGAAGCCUCGGCUAAGGGCACGUCUGCCUGGGCGUCACGCAUCGCGUCUCCCCCAAACCGCCAAGGCGGAGGGGAAGGAAGAUGGCUUCCCGUGCCUCACCCGGGCGCGGUUGGCCUAAAUUUGGAGCCCGCGGCACUUAGCUCUCGCGGCGAUAGGUGGUGAACAAGGCCUUGGCCGUGCAAACAACCCGCUGCGAAGCUCUAUGUCACGUGCGCUCGUCGGACCCUUUGAAGUUGCCUUUGGUGACUUAAAACCUUUGCGACCCCAGGUCAGGCGGGGCUACCCGCUGAAUUUAAGCGUAUCAUAAGCGGAGGA
This 399-nucleotide unclassified non-coding RNA is filed under the name soil metagenome. RNAcentral describes it as "partial contains 5.8S ribosomal RNA, internal transcribed spacer 2, and large subunit ribosomal RNA". The stretch from base 1 to 120 matches the Rfam family "5.8S ribosomal RNA", at positions 35 to 154 of the family's 154-position model. The record is from RNAcentral.